This 499-nucleotide ribosomal RNA is filed under the name uncultured bacterium. RNAcentral describes it as "bacterial SSU rRNA". It matches the Rfam family "Bacterial small subunit ribosomal RNA", at positions 899 to 1397 of the family's 1533-position model. The record is from RNAcentral.
ACUCAAAGGAAUUGACGGGGGCCCGCACAAGCGGAGGAACAUGUGGUUUAAUUCGAUGAUACGCGAGGAACCUUACCCGGGCUUGAAAUGGAGAGGAAUGUGGUUGAAAGGUCACAGUCUUUACAGACCUCUUUGUAGGUGCUGCAUGGUUGUCGUCAGCUCGUGCCGUGAGGUGUCGGCUUAAGUGCCAUAACGAGCGCAACCCUUAUUUUCAGUUACCAUCAGUUUAAGCUGGGGACUCUGGAGAGACUGCCGCCGUAAGGUGCGAGGAAGGUGGGGAUGACGUCAAAUCAGCACGGCCCUUACGUCCGGGGCGACACACGUGUUACAAUGGGAGAUACAGAGGGUUGCUACCUGGAGACGGGAUGCUAAUCUCUUAAAUUCUUUCUCAGUUCGGAUCGGAGUCUGCAACUCGACUUCGUGAAGUUGGAUUCGCUAGUAAUCGCGCAUCAGCCAUGGCGCGGUGAAUACGUUCCCGGGCCUUGCACACACCGCCCGU